RNAcentral lists this ribosomal RNA (449 nucleotides) under uncultured bacterium. RNAcentral's name for it is "partial 16S ribosomal RNA". It matches the Rfam family "Bacterial small subunit ribosomal RNA", at positions 29 to 523 of the family's 1533-position model. The record is from RNAcentral.
AACGAACGCUGGCGGCAUGCCUAACACAUGCAAGUCGAACGAGAUCUUCGGGUCUAGUGGCGCACGGGUGCGUAACGCGUGGGAAUCUGCCCUUUGGUUCGGAAUAACAGUUGGAAACGACUGCUAAUACCGGAUGAUGACGAAAGUCCAAAGAUUUAUCGCCAGAGGAUGAGCCCGCGUAGGAUUAGCUAGUUGGUGUGGUAAAGGCGCACCAAGGCGACGAUCCUUAGCUGGUCUGGGAGGAUGAUCAGCCACACUGGGGCUGAGACACGGCCCAGACUCCUACGGGAGGCAGCAGUGGGGAAUAUUGGACAAUGGGCGAAAGCCUGAUCCAGCAAUGCCGCGUGAGUGAUGAAGGCCUUAGGGUUGUAAAGCUCUUUUACCCGGGAUGAUAAUGACAGUACCGGGAGAAUAAGCUCCGGCUAACUCCGUGCCAGCCGCCGCGGUAA